AAGCUCGUAGUUGAAUUUCGAGAUCAUUACGCUGGUCGUGCCUUCGGUAUGCACUGGUGUCACUGGUUUCUCCCUUCUGAAGAACCGUCAUGUCAUUAAGUUGGUGUGGCGGGGAAUCAGGACUGUUACUUUGAAAAAAUUAGAGUGUUUAAAGCAGGCUCGCGCUUGAAUACAUUAGCAUGGAAUAAUGAAAUAGGACGUUUGACCCUAUUUUGUUGGUUUCUAGGAUCGACGUAAUGAUUAAUAGGGAUAGUUGGGGGCAUUAGUAUUCAAUUGUCAGAGGUGAAAUUCUUGGAUUUAUUGAAGACUAACUACUGCGAAAGCAUUUGCCAAGGAUGUUUUCAUUAAUCAAGAACGAAAGUUAGGGGAUCGAAGACGAUCAGAUACCGUCGUAGUCUUAACCAUAAACUAUGCCGACUAGGGAUCGGAUGAUGUUAAUUUUUUAAUGACUCAUUCGGCGCCUUACGGGAAACCAAAGUGUUUGGGUUCCGGGGGGAGUAUGGUCGCAAGGCUGAAACUUAAAGGAAUUGACGGAAGGGCACCACCAGGGGUGGAGCCUGCGGCUUAAUUUGACUCAACACGGGGAAA
Molecule: ribosomal RNA, 588 nt
Filed under: uncultured Glomus
Lineage: Eukaryota; Fungi; Glomeromycota; Glomeromycetes; Glomerales; Glomeraceae
Description: SSU rRNA
Rfam family: Eukaryotic small subunit ribosomal RNA
Source: RNAcentral